GAUGAACGCUGGCGGCGUGCCUAAUACAUGCAAGUCGAGCGAACAGAUGAGGAGCUUGCUCCUCUGACGUUAGCGGCGGACGGGUGAGUAACACGUGGAUAACCUACCUAUAAGACUGGGAUAACUUCGGGAAACCGGAGCUAAUACCGGAUAAUAUAUUGAACCGCAUGGUUCAAUAGUGAAAGACGGUUUUGCUGUCACUUAUAGAUGGAUCCGCGCCGCAUUAGCUAGUUGGUAAGGUAACGGCUUACCAAGGCAACGAUGCGUAGCCGACCUGAGAGGGUGAUCGGCCCCACUGGAACUGAGAAACGGUCCAGACUCCUAAGGGAGGCAGCAGUAGGGAAUCUUGCGCAAUGGGCGAAAGCCUGACCGAGCCACGCCGCGUGAGGGAAGAAGGUCUUCGGAUUGUAAAACUCUUUUAUUUGGGAAGAAAAAAAGUGUAAAUAAACCUUGCCGUUUUGACGGUACCCAAACAAAAAGCCCCGGCUAACUUCGUG
Molecule: ribosomal RNA, 497 nt
Filed under: uncultured bacterium
Lineage: Bacteria
Description: partial 16S ribosomal RNA
Rfam family: Bacterial small subunit ribosomal RNA
Source: RNAcentral